AUUUGAAGCAAUUCAGAUCAUCAAUCUGCCAAAAGAUCUAGACAAGGAUACAACCCAUCGUUAUGGUCCCAACACUUUCAAAUUGCACAGGUUACCUGUCCCUAGGCCAGGACAGGUUCUUGGUCUGGUUGGCACAAAUGGUAUUGGAAAGUCAACUGCCCUGAAAGUUUUGGCUGGAAAAUUGAAACCAAACUUGGGACGCUUCACUAACCCUCCUGAUUGGCAAGAGAUCUUGACUCACUUUCGAGGAUCCGAAUUGCAGAAUUACUUCACUCGCAUUCUGGAAGAUAACUUGAAGGCAAUUAUCAAGCCUCAGUAUGUUGACCAUAUUCCAAAGGCAGUUCAAGGAAAUGUCGGACAAGUGCUUGACCAAAAAGAUGAGAGA
This 385-nucleotide unclassified non-coding RNA is filed under the name Hevea brasiliensis (rubber tree). Lineage: Eukaryota; Viridiplantae; Streptophyta; Magnoliopsida; Malpighiales; Euphorbiaceae. The record is from RNAcentral.